This 832-nucleotide ribosomal RNA is filed under the name Aigialus parvus. Its description in RNAcentral is "SSU rRNA". It matches the Rfam family "Eukaryotic small subunit ribosomal RNA", at positions 84 to 926 of the family's 1831-position model. The record is from RNAcentral. Lineage: Eukaryota; Fungi; Ascomycota; Dothideomycetes; Pleosporales; Aigialaceae.
AAACUGCGAAUGGCUCAUUAAAUCAGUUAUCGUUUAUUUGAUAGUACCUUACUACUUGGAUAACCGUGGUAAUUCUAGAGCUAAUACAUGCCAAAAACCCCGACUUCGGGAGGGGUGUAUUUAUUAGAUAAAAAACCAAUGCCCUCUGGGCUCUUUGGUGAUUCAUGAUAACUUCGCGGAUCGCAUGGCCUUGCGCCGGCGACGGUUCAUUCAAAUUUCUGCCCUAUCAACUUUCGAUGGUAAGGUAUUGGCUUACCAUGGUCUCAACGGGUAACGGGGGAUUAGGGUUCGACUCCGGAGAGGGAGCCUGAGAAACGGCUACCACAUCCAAGGAAGGCAGCAGGCGCGCAAAUUACCCAAUCCCGACACGGGGAGGUAGUGACAAUAAAUACUGAUACAGGGCUCUUUUGGGUCUUGUAAUCGGAAUGAGUACAAUUUAAAUCCCUUAACGAGGAACAAUUGGAGGGCAAGUCUGGUGCCAGCAGCCGCGGUAAUUCCAGCUCCAAUAGCGUAUAUUAAAGUUGUUGCAGUUAAAAAGCUCGUAGUUGAACCUUGGGCCUGGCUGGCUGGUCCGCCUCACCGCGUGCACUGGCAUGGCCGGGCCUUUCCUCCUGGAGAGCCCCAUGCCCUUCACUGGGCGUGUGGGGGAACCAGGACUUUUACUUUGAAAAAAUUAGAGUGUUCAAAGCAGGCCUUUGCUCGAAUACAUUAGCAUGGAAUAAUGAAAUAGGACGUGCGGUCCUAUUUUGUUGGUUUCUAGGACCGCCCUAAUGAUUAAUAGGGACAGUCGGGGGCAUCCGUAUUCAAUUGUCAGAGGUGAAAUUCUUGGAUU